GGAAUUUUCCGCAAUGGGCGCAAGCCUGAUGCAGCCAUGCCGCGUGUGUGAAGAAGGCCUUCGGGUUGUAAAGCACUUUCAGUCGUGAGGAAUAGAUUUGACGUUAGCGACAGAAGAAGCACCGGCUAACUCCGUGCCAGCAGCCGCGGUAAUACGGAGGGUGCAAGCGUUGCUCGGAAUCACUGGGCGUAAAGAGCGUGUAGGCGGUUUUGUAUGUCUGACGUGAAAGCCCCGGGCUUACCCUGGGAAGUGCGUUGGAAACUGCAGAACUAGAGUCUCGGAGAGGGAGGUGGAAUUCCAGGUGUAGCGGUGAAAAGCGUAGAUAUCUGGAAGAACACCGGUGGCGAAGGCGACCUCCUGGGCGAUGACUGACGCUGAGACGCGAAAGCGUGGGGAGCAAACAGGAUUAGAUACCCCAGUAGUC
Molecule: ribosomal RNA, 424 nt
Filed under: uncultured bacterium
Lineage: Bacteria
Description: bacterial SSU rRNA
Rfam family: Bacterial small subunit ribosomal RNA
Source: RNAcentral